GAGUUUGAUUAUGGCUCAGGACAAACGCUGGCGGCGUGCAUAACACAUGCAAGUCGAACGAAAUCUACAUGAUUUAGUGGCGAACGGGUGAGUAACACGUGAGAAACCUGCCUUACACAGAGGGAUAGCCGUUGGAAACGACGAUUAAUACCUCAUGACACCGUGACAUCGCAUGAUGAUGCGGUCAAAGAUUUAUCGGUGUAAGAUGGUCUCGCGCCUGAUUAGCUGGUUGGUGGGGUAACGGCCUACCAAGGCGACGAUCAGUAGCCGAUCUGAGAGGGUGGACGGCCACAUUGGGACUGAGACACGGCCCAAACUCCUACGGGAGGCAGCAGUGGGGAAUUUUGCACAAUGGGGGAAACCCUGAUGCAGCGACGCCGCAUGAACGAAGAAGGCCUUCGGGUUGUAAAGUUCUGUCCUUGGUGAAGAUAAUGACA
This 437-nucleotide ribosomal RNA is filed under the name Helcococcus sp. canine oral taxon 069. Its description in RNAcentral is "bacterial SSU rRNA". It matches the Rfam family "Bacterial small subunit ribosomal RNA", at positions 9 to 456 of the family's 1533-position model. The record is from RNAcentral. Lineage: Bacteria; Bacillati; Bacillota; Tissierellia; Tissierellales; Peptoniphilaceae.